GCCGGCCGCGAAAGCCAGGCCUUCAUAUUUUGUUGUGUAAUGAUCCCCUCCGUAGGGUGACCUGCGGAGGGAUCAUUACACAACAAAAUAUGAAGGCCUGGCUUUCGCGGCCGGCUGAAGUAUUUUUUUCACCCAUGUCUUUUGCGCACUUGUUGUUUCCUGGGCGGGUUCGCCCGCCACCAGGACCAAACCAUAAACCUUUUUUUCUUAUGCAGUUUCCAUCAGCGUCAGUAAAAACAAUGUAAUUAUUACAACUUUCAACAACGGAUCUCUUGGUUCUGGCAUCGAUGAAGAACGCAGCGAAAUGCGAUACGUAGUGUGAAUUGCAGAAUUCAGUGAAUCAUCGAAUCUUUGAACGCACAUUGCGCCCUUUGGUAUUCCAAAGGGCAUGCCUGUUCGAGCGUCAUUUGUACCUUCAAGCUUUGCUUGGUGUUGGGCGUUUUUUUGUCUCCCUCUUUCUGGGAGACUCGCCUUAAAACGAUUGGCAGCCGGCCUACUGGUUUCGGAGCGCAGCACAUUUUUUGCGCUUUGUAUCAGGAGAAAAGGACGGUACUCCAUCAAGACUCUACAUUUUUCACUUUUGACCUCGGAUCAGGUAGGGAUACCCGCUGAACUUAAGCAUAUCAAUAAGCGGAGGAAAU
This 641-nucleotide ribosomal RNA is filed under the name Bipolaris oryzae. Its description in RNAcentral is "eukaryotic LSU rRNA". The stretch from base 253 to 406 matches the Rfam family "5.8S ribosomal RNA". Lineage: Eukaryota; Fungi; Ascomycota; Dothideomycetes; Pleosporales; Pleosporaceae. The record is from RNAcentral.